ACUAGUGCACCAAGGCUGUGAGGUAUUUUUAUUGUUGCAUUGUGGAGGUCUAGCUCUAAAUGUCUUAGCUUGUGUAGGCUAGCUAACUCCUCAUUGUGAGGUAUUUUUAUUGUUGCAUUGUAGAGACUUAGCUCUAAAUGUCUUAGCUUGUGUAGGCUUGAAAUUCCACUCAAAUCCACAUCCUCAGAGGAAUGAAGCUCCAGCUCGGAUUCGUGUUGGCGAGUUCAUUUCCUUCAGUUUUCCCAAGCCUGAAGCCGAAAGUAAGAAGAAGUUCUUUGAGCACAAGAAGGUUCGGCCAAAAGCGAGCUCCGACAUUGUAAGGUUCUUGACAAAAGCUUCAGGAGAGGUACGUUUCACUUGACUUGUUUCUUCGUUUUAAUUCUAACCAUUUGCUCACAGAGAGGACGGCUUCCAGCCGACUGGGCCAAGUGUUUGAUACCUUUGGGAAGUGCAAAAUGGCACCAGAGGCUCUUUCUCUUAUGAGCAGCAUAGUUCUCCAUUUGAGGUAGAGUUUUCUGUGUUUACCAGAGACGUUAUGUAUAUGAUGUGCUUGCAGAGUUUAUAUCAACAAGUCAGAAGCCUUACGAGGAGGGGGAUGAGCGCGGAUUGAAGCUUCUGCAAGCUAUCUUGAAGCCGUUAAUGCUUCGAAGAACAAAAGAUUCAACUGAUAGAGAAGGAAGGUAAGCAUUUUUUUCUUUGCACCGUGCCUUGUCUUGUAUUCACUCACAAGUUGGAUUCACAGACCAAUUCUUGUUCUCCAACCGGCUCAAUGUGAGGUUAUUGAAUGCAAACUAUCUGAGCCUGAACGUGAUUUUUAUGAUGCCCUUUAGAACAGAUCUAAGGCAUGAAGAACUUCUCUUUCUUUUAUUUUCUCUUUUUUCUGAACACGUUUUUGCGUUUGUGAUCAGGUAAAAUUCGAUCAGUUCGUUGAACAAGGUAAAGUUCUCCAUAACUAUGCCUCGAUCCUCGAACUGCUACUUCGAUUACGGCAAGCUUGUGAUCAUCCUUUUCUUGUUCUGAGGUAGAAAAUGCAUCCUCUUAUGUCUGAAGUUCCUGACGUUUUCUUCAUCACGCAGCCGUGGCGAUACUGAAGACUUUGCGGACCUAAGAAUUCCUCCCAGGUGCCUUCGACGGCGUAUGUCAAAGAGGUGGUGGAUGAUAUUCAUAAAGGAGAAAGUGCUGAGUGCCCAAUUUGUUUGGAGAUGCACGCAGUUCUUACACCAUGCGCUCAUCGAAUGUGCCGUGAGUGCCUAUUUAAUAGCUGGCGUACUAGCGCCGGAGGUCCCUGUCCAAUAUCCGAGGUAACAUAUUGUUUUUUUUCUCGAGCUCUUUUCCAUAUCCAUAGCUAUCAUGCAGGCGUUCCUGUACGAAAUAGGAACUCAUAACUGUACCAACAAGUAAUCGGUUUCGAAUAAAUGUCGAGGAGCAGUGGAAGGAGUCGUCCAAAGUCGAGGCUCUGCUGCACCACCUCCAAACGUUAAGUGAGGCCGGGUCGAAAAGCGUUGAUUUUAAUCAGUGGACAGCGUUUCUCGACUUGUUAGAGAUACCAUUGAAAAGGUACGAGCGUCUUUCCUUUUGGUGCUUUCUCUUUGUUUGUGUUUCUAACAAUGCACCGCCAGGAAGAACUUCUGUUUCGUCCGCUUGGACGGAACACUAUCGCAGCGUCAGCGAGAACAAGUGCUCAAAAGCUUCAGCAAUAUUCCAGCCGUGGCCGUAAGCUUUUUGUGUUGCUUACCUCCAAGAAACCACUCUAUUUUGUGGACAGGUCAUGCUCUCAUGCUUUUCUCAUGGUACGCGCUAUAGUUUUCUUUUUUAGCCAUCUUCCGAGUCGAGAAUGUGGACGAUCGAGCAUCGGUCAGACGAAGAACGUAUCGAUCAAGCGAUUCAUCGUCAAAGUAAGCGCCACUUGAAACUCUCUUUGACGUUUCUCAUGUCUCUAGAGCAGGACUCGGUGGAGGAGAGAAUGCAACAGGUCCAAGCGAGGAAGCAGCGAUUGAUCGCGAGGGCUCUCACAGACGAAGAGGUGCGAAGCGCUCGAAUCGAGGAGCUCAAAAUGCUAUUUAGAUGAGAAGAAGCAUUUUAACUUAGUGUACAUAGUUAAAGAGGAGAAUAUGCUUCUAGCAUCGGCGCUUGGGUACAAGCACUUUUAGGUUUCUUCCUAUGGCGGACAGCGAAGGAGCAGGCGAUCGCGUCGCAAGCGGCGACGAGCAAGGUAUGCAUGCUAGGAUCGAGAAGCAGCAGCAGCGCCAGCGCCGGCGCCGCGCCGCGAUUUCGCUGGCCUAGAGAGCCGGAGUAGCCGAUCUAGAUUCAUGCAAGCAUAUCAUCUCUAGGAAAUUGAGCUGAACGCUGAGGCUUUGCAGGCGAUCGCGUCGAUUCCUCUCGUCUCCGCGGCCAGGGCGGCUAGAAAGCCGGGGCGCAUUCUAGAGUUUCGGAGUUUCUGGGGCGAUCAGUCAUGUAGCGGGCAGUGAUUCUCUCACAUGGAGCUGGGAGUCAGCCAUGACGUGGAAUCCGCCACAAGUUCCUCCCAGCUUGUCCGCCUUGACUGCCACUACUCAGGCCGAGGAUGAACUGGGCGUGGAUGUGUCGUCUCCCAGCGGCGAUUUGCUGCUCCAUUUUCUCAAGAGCGGUGGGGGCGACGAGCAGCUGAGGAGCAGUAGCAGCUACAGGACCCAGCAGUCGCACCUUACGGUCCCUGCCACAGCUUUGCUCCUUCUGGAGGACCUGGAGGAGGAGGAGAAGGUCCUCCUCCACGACCACUCUACGUCCCAGCAAUAAGAUUUGGUGGGUGGUCACCUCACUUCCAGCAGCACCAAGACCCACUUUUCCCUUCGGAUCCAUUCUUGACUCCGUCGGACCACUGAUUUCUACGCUCGUUUGCUCCUCUUCCAGUCGAGAGACCGUUCCAUCCAGUGCCGUAUCCUUUUCUAAAUGCUCCGACUUUGCAGCCUGCUGAUACAGUGGUUCAUCCGCCGCAUUCCUCUGGGGAGCUUAAAGCUCGUCCUGGCCUUCACUUCGAGUCUCCGGUGUUUGGACCCAGCGCAGCAGAGACCUCGGACUCCAAACGCGCCCCAGAGCAGCCGAGGAGAUCGGUUACACACAAGCAACAAUUCCACGGCAAUGGUUCCGAGCUCCUUCAGUUGUUACAGGGUGGUUCUGGUCGUGUGAAGCCCACAGCCUCCACAAAGGUGGAUGCUACACAGGACAGUGGAGAUUCUGGAGAGCCAUCAAAGAAAGGAAGUCCAUCUGCUGUUCACGGCCCCAUAGGACCGCCGAGGCGUCAUGUCGUUUCUCCUCCGCAGAGUCCAAAUGACCUCCUUGGACGUUUGUGGGCUGCUCUUCCGUCGUCAGGCCACACUUUGUUUGACGGAGAAAGCAAACGCAAGACGUCAGCCCGGAGCUUUGGCGUUGAAGUGAACGAGGUGUCCCGGGAAGUCGAUGGCGGUGGAGCUGCUGGUUUCGCACUUUUGAAGCGAAGGGGAUCGGAGCCUGCCGCCUCGCACUGCCUUUAAACGGCUACGCCUAUAACGACUCUAAGACAAAUGAUAAGCCAAGGACAAACUCAGCAUCCGGAAGACUACAGGACUAUCGUGGGAGAUACGUAAAUGGAGAGGCCGAAGUUGAGCCCGGAGGCGAUGACUUUAGAGGUGCGGGAAGGCGUCGAGGUACCGGUCGUGCAGACGCCAGACGCGGUGGUCGGGGUGCUGUUGGCCAGUGGAUUGCGGUAAAUGAGAGGCAUAAAGAUGCUGAGCCAAGUGACAUCACCUCCUGCGAUAUCUCUGAUGGAAGGGACGAGUCGCUUAAAUCUUCAAACGGGACUUAGUCGAAUGCUAGGACAAAACAUCAACAGGAAUGGAGGAUAAAACAGGCUGACUCAAAGGCAGCAUUUCCAGCGGAGAAAAAACCGGACUACAAGGUUCCAAAGGCACGGUCUUCGGCAUCUCAACUUGGCAUCUCAACUUGAACGUCCAGGCUUGCCAUCGGGAAGUACGCAAAACUCUUCCGUUGGUGCGGCUUUUGAGGAGUCCAAACAGAGGCUCCAUAAUCUAGAUGCUUUGGAAGGAGAAGGCGUGACGACCUCUCUAGAUCUCGAGGAGCUACAAAUUGACGGUCACCGUCGUGAGGGUAACACUCCACAGUUUGACAAGGUUUGUGCUUGCCUUUUUUCUUUCUUUAUUUUCAUGUGUUUGUAUCUCUGGUUACAGCCGAAGGAGAACCGUUUCAGGACCUCUGAAGAACUAAAGGUAUGCAUAUGCAUAUUCUUAAUAUUGUUAUGUUUUACCAUUUACUCUAUACACCAGAUUUUAAAAUACUCAAAACCACGAGAGUAAAGUAAUAUCCUGAGAAUACGAUUUGUAAGCAAAACAGAAACUAUGUCUUCUCCAAACGCUGCUGACGGCUUGGAAAUCUCUGUUUUUGUUUUUUGAGUUAUGCAAAAUAGUGUAGCAUUUGCGCAGAUCGAGAACCCAAUCGAUGUCCACUGAAGGAGCAAGGUUUAAGCCCAGAAGAUUAUCUGGAGAUCCGGCCGCUCCUCAAGCCAUGUUGGAACUUUCGAACCUUUUGGGCAGUAUACGACUUUGAGCCUGGGAAAUAAGCCAAGGCCGUGAUUGUCUGAACUCAAUUGGGACCACACUACAUCAUCAUGAUCAGAGAGCACAAGUUCCUCCAAUCCUGAAAGGGAUGCAACGGAUGAUGGAAUAUCUUCGAUCCCAUAGAAGUGCACACGUCUUAAAAGAGUCAUCUGGUCUGUUGGCUCAAAGAAAUCAUUGGGGAGCUGCCUCAUACAGCCCUUCCGCAAAGAUAAUGCGAACCGUUUCACCUUCAGCUGUGAUCUCUCGGUUGGCAUCAAGAGUCUCCUCAUGUAACCUUCUACUCUCAGUUCCUCAAGGUCUUUGGGGAGUUGUGUCACAAAGAGAGGCAAAUGCUCCCAUGUAUUAUCAGGAGCCAGAUAGAAUCUUAACCUCUUCAGGUUUGGAAGACUUGCUGCCAAAUCAUCCUUGAACUUCGACUGUGCAAUGUGCAGGUUUCCAAGCUCCAGCCAUUCGAGGCAUGGGAACGAUCCAUCCAGACUGAAGAACUGGAUACCACUGCAGUCUAGUUGAAGUUCUCGUAGCCGUUGAAAGACCUUUAGCCAAGACAGGUCUUUCAUUGUCUCAUUGUUUAUGAUCGUUAAAAGUUGUAGCUGUGGCCAUUCAAGGCUUUCGGCAUUGUUUUCACCGUCUUGUACCCCGUCAAUCGAAAAGUUCUGAAGCUGUUUGGAAUUCUUAAACAUUCGCUUCCAGUCAAGUUUGAUAGUCGAUUGCACGCUAAUGUGACAUCGUCUUAGAUUGACAAGUUGCCACGGGCCGGUGAAAUCGCCAAAGUCCAUGCUCUUUGCACGCAACUCCAGUGUCUCAAUGUCCACUAGUGCACCAAGGUUGUGAGGUAUUUUUAUUGUUGCACCUUUGAAGUCUAGCUUUAAAUCUCUUAGCUUGUGUAGGCUUGAAAUUCCACUCAAAUCCAUAGCCACAGCUAACUCCUUACAAGAUUCAAGCUCCAGACGUUUGAGGCAUGGGAACGAUCCAUCCAGACUGAAGAACUGGAUACCACUGCAGUCUAGGUGAAGGUCUCGUAGCCGUUGAAAGACCUUUAGCCAAGACAGGUCUUUCAUUGUCUCAUUGUUUGCGAUGGAUAAAGCUUGUAGCUGCAGCCAUUCGAGGCUUUCGGCAUUGUUUUCACCGUGUUGUACCCCGUCAAUCGAAAAGUGCUGAAGCUGUUUGGAAUUCUUAAACAUUCGCUUCCAGUCAAGUUUGAUAGUCGAUUUCACCCUAAUCUCACAUCGUUUCAGAUUGACAAGUUGCCACGGGCCUGUGAAAUCGCCAAAGUCCAUGCUCUUUGCACGCAACACCAGUGUCUCAAUGUCCUCUAGUGCACCAAGGCCGUGAGGUAUUUUUAUUGUUGCCUUGUGGAGGCCUAGCUCUAAAUGUCUUAGCUUGUGUAGGCUUGAAAUUCCACUCAAAUCCACAGCUAACUCCUCAAAGGAAUAAAGCUCCAGCUCUUCCAAGUUGAAUAAUUGGGGCACUAAUCCAAAGUUGAGAUUUCUGGUAGCCUUGCAUUUCAAAACCUUCAGUGAUGUCAAGCUGAAGAGCGCAUCUGGUAAUAUUGUCACACUUGAUGGUACAAGGCACAUCUCUCGAAGGUCAAGCACUUGAAGGUUUCUCAGCUUGGAUAUGCUCUCUGGAAUAAAACGGACCAAAUUAUCGCAUCCAUUCAAGCUCAAUACCUUGACAUUUUGGAUGUGAUCUAUAAUAAGACUGACAUCCACACCAGAAAUUUUAUGACAUCGAUCGAGAAGCAAGACAUCUCGCACAUGAAUGUCAGACAAAAGGCUGCUUGUAACCUUCUUUCCAAUGAAUGAAACUUUAGAAAAUGUUGGAGAAAUCCCAGGUGGACAAUCAUAGCCAAACAGGCAUCCCUUCUCGUGCUCUUCCUGGGGUGGGUACUUCCCUUUCAAGAUUCUUAUGCACAGCUUGCGUACCAUAUCGUGCACAGUUACAUACUUGUCCCGAAGUAUACUAGUUGUCUUCACUAGGCAUCUUCGUUCCAGUUCACUAACAAUCUGCAGAGGCGAGAGUUCUGACCCAACCGCUAUCCAACAUUUUCUCAGAUCAUCAAAGUUGAUGUUCCAAUCUUCUGGAAACGCAGCCACAUAGAGAAAGCACUCUUGCAGCUUUUCAUCCUUAUUAAAGCGUCCCAGCUCGUCAUAGCUAAACUUCAAGCGCUGGAACAUCCGCUUCUCAAUGUCCCCGUCAUUCAACAAAUGCAUCUUCUGAUAGCGUUCUUUCCACACCUGUGGCCCCUCAUUCCUGUAGACAGCCAUGGCACUGCCAAUCACUUCAAGAGCUAGAGGGAGCCCCUCACAUUUGCUAGCUAUUCUCUCGGCAACUUUCACAAUGUCCGGAUCACUAGGUCGUGAAUCACGAAAGGCAAACUUCCAAAACAUCUUUUCGCUCUCGGCCUUUGAUAGCAUACACACACGAAAUGUUUUUGCACCCAGCAUGCUCAAAAUGUCUUCCUUUCUGGUUGUUACCAGCACCCGGCUGUAAGAGGACGACCCUGCCAUAAAAUCCAGUCUCUCGGCCCAGCUCAUGUCCCACACAUCAUCCAGUAUCAGCAAGACACAAAUUCCACGAGCAACAUUUUGUGCCAAGUGCUGCACAUGCUCAAGGGUGCCUGCAUUUUGGGCCCUCUCUUUCAUGCCGCCCCAUUCAAGAGCGUUGAGGAGCUGGGCCCUGAGAUCAUCCUCCGAUGCAUCUUUCUUGACAGUAAUCCACACAAUGUUGUCAUGGAAAUGCUGGCGGACCCUCUGGUCAUUGUUCACGAAUCUUGCAAGGGUGGUCUUGCCACACCCUCCCAUUCCCAGGAGUCCAAACCAUUUCCCCGGGGCUUGUGGAUCCAGGAGGGCAUUCACCACCUCAUCCACCUGCUCCCCAUGGCGGCCAAACAUGUCGCUGGGCUCGGGAACACCAUGCCGUACAUACUUUACGAGACCUCUGUCUUGUGGACAGCUCCGUACGGAAAAGCUGGUGCUCGGCUGUAUCACUCUCAACUCUUCUCGCUCGUACCUUUCAAUGUGCGGGAGGAGAUCGUUCUCGCAAGUGCGUACCAGCUCCGAAAUCGCGCCAGAUCGCUUCUCCCUGCGCGACAGAUCCAUCUUUUAGCUCCAUUGCUUCAAACAUGAAUUCGAAUAAGCCUUACUGUGAUCCAAGCAGCGCUUGCGCCGUCUUAGUCCAUUCAGUCAGUUCAGUCAGCCACGCCUCAGCCUCACCAGAGUAGCGGAAAUCUGGAUUCCUGUGCUUGGGAGCAUUAAACUUGUCGAGCGUGGCCUGGAUUCUGGAUGCCCUCUUCUUUAGCUCCUCAAUGUGGACAUUCAGCUCAUGCUCGUGACCUUGGAUCUGCGACAGGAGAUCGUCGUAGGCACUUAAGGACUUCGCGAUCUCGUUACUCCGCUUGUACCUAUAGGAAGUGGAGAAGUUCAACCAGCUGCCUGCCAUUUCUACACACACACACACACACAAAAGAUAAAAUGCUACUGUACCGACCGCUUUAUGGGGCUCCAGAUCCUGUUGUGGCGUGAUCCCAAGAGUGCUUGUGCGUUGGUGUUCCAUUUCCUGACACGCUCCAAGCAUUCCUCGGCCGCUUGAGAGAACGUGAAGCCAGAAUUCUGCUGCUUGUGAUCACUGAAAGCGUUGAUCUUGGCCUGGAUGUGGUGCGCCUUGUUCUCCAGCGUUUCAAUGUUGGCAUUGCAGUCCCAUAUCUUCUUAGCAGGGGCCAGAGCCAAGCCACACAAGACGCUUGUCAAGGAGCCCACAACCUCCAUGGCUGUAGACCUACAAGUAAAGGUUGUCUCCCUCCCAGAAAGAAGCGCAAUAUUAACUCUUGACCUUGUAGAUCGGAAUUCUUCACUUUUUUCACAGCUGUGACUCACUCACUCUAAGAGAUUCACAGUGAGCACCGCAACGAUCGCUACAUCGCUCGCAAGAAACACCUCUAUUUGUCCAAACAGACAAAGGUGAAGUACUUUUAAGACGCCCGAGAAGAACAUCGUCUUUUCUCUUGUACGGCGUUGAUCCAGGCGUACGGGAAUAGAGGGCUCCUCUGCCGAUCUUUGAUGGGAUCCGGGCGAUCUUGUCACCGACGUCUUGAAAGAUCUUAGAUUCUAUCCGCAAUCGCCCAGUCAAUGCGAUCCUGGCGAUGGGUGCUCCAUAUCAUUCUAUUCCCGCCCGGACGUGAUCUCCAGGAUUUGCGAAGAAGAAGCUCUUCGAUCAGAUGCGCGAUGCUGGCGCGCAAUUGAUUGGAGCUUCCCGCUACAUUUUCCCGCGCUAUCGUCUCUACUUCUCCAUUCUAGGGUUCUUUCUUGGAGGCGACGUAGGUUUUCUAUUGCCCGCGUGGUCGAGGAGACGGCGCUGGGGGGCGGCCUUGAUCGGCGUUCUGGAGCUGCCCCUGCAAAAGCUGAGGCUUCUAGGACAGCAAAAAUUGCCGAGGUGAGCAAUGAUAGUGGAGCAGAGGAUUUAUAUGAUUCGGGAGUAGAAAGUGGAGCAAUCGAUGGUGAGGAAGAAGAGGUAAACAAGAUUAUGGCUGGAGGAGGAAACGAUGCUGAGGUGGAAAGAACAACAGUGGUCGAGAGCUCCAUUGAGACUGUCAGGAAACAUGGCGAAGCUGUUUCUACUUUCAAUCAGAGGUAGUGCCUUGACCCACGGUAAUCCCGUUAAGAUGGAAGCUGGUUGUGGUUCCGUGAAAGCUGAAGCUUCGGUUUCGAUCGCAGCUGGAUGUGAUCCUAUGAAAGUAGAUGGCUUGGUGAAGAUGGAAGCUGGUUUUGAGUCUGCAAGAGUCGAAGCCCCGGUUGGCUCGGUGAAGAUGGAACCUGGUUAUCAUACUGUGAAAGUUGAAACUCCAUUCGGGGGUGGUAAAGCUGCCCAUUUGUCUGAAGCGAAGGUGGUUCCAAUAGAAAAUGACACGGCUAAAGCUGCAGAAAAGCAACCGGUUGUUUUAGAUGCAGAGAGGUGGUGGCUUCUCCAAGAGACUGAAGUUGCCGGGUACUCGACGUCCAGGGGAUGCCGGAUUCGUGUUGGCGAGUUCGUGUCCUUCAAUUUUCCCAAGCCUGAAGCCGAAAGUAAGAAGAAGUUCUUUGAGCACAAGAGGGUUCGGCCGAAAGCGAGCUCCGACAUUGUAAGGUUCUUGACAAAAGCUUCAGGAGAGGUACGUUUCACUUGACUUGUUUCUUCGUUUUACUUCUAACCAUUUGCUCACAGAUAGGACGGCUUCCAGCCGACUGGGCCAAGUGUUUGAUACCUUUGGGAAGUGCAAAAUGGCACCAGAGGCUCUUUCUCUUAUGAGCAGCAUAGUUCUCCAUUUGAGGUAGAGUUUCUGUGUUUACCAGAGACGUUACGUAUAUGAUGUGCUUGUGUUUAUAUCAACAAGUCAGAAGCCUUACGAGGAGGGGGUUGAGCGCGGAUUGAAGCUUCUGCAAGCUAUCUUGAAGCCGUUAAUGCUUCGAAGAAAAAAAGAUUCAACUGAUAAAGAAGAAAGGUAAGCAUUUUUUUCUUUGCACCGUGCCUUGUCUUGUAUUCACUCACAAGUUGGAUUCACAGACCAAUUCCUGUUCUCCAACCGGCUCAAUGUGAAGUUAUUGAAUGCAAACUAUCUGAGCCUGAAUGCCCUUUACCACAGAUCUAAGGCAUGAAGAACUUCUCUUUCUUUUAUUUUCUCGUUUUUUCUGAACACGUUUUUGCUUUUGUGAUCAGGUAAAAUUCGAUCAGUUCGUUGAACAAGGUAAAGUUCUCCAUAACUAUGCCUCGAUCCUCGAACUGCUACUUCGAUUACGGCAAGCUUGUGAUCAUCCUUUUCUUGUUCUGAGGUAGAAAAUGCAUCCUCUUAUGUCUGAAGUUCCUGACGUUUUCUUCGUCACGCAGCCGUGGCGAUACUGAAGACUUUGCGGACCUGGGAAAGCUGGCUAGACGUUUCUUGGACAAGAAUUCCUCCCAGGUGCCUUCGACGGCUAUGUCAAAGAGGUGGUGGAUGAUAUUCGUAAAGGAGAAAGUGCUGAGUGCCCAAUUUGUUUGGAGAUGCACGCAGUUCUCACACCAUGCGCUCAUUGAAUGUGAGCGCCGGAGGUCCCUGUCCAAUAUCCGAGGUAACAUAUUGUUUUUUUUCUCGAGCUCUUUUCCAUAUCCAUAGCUAUCAUGCAGGCGUUCCUGUACGAAAUAGGAACUCAUAACUGUACCAACAAGUAAUCGGUUUCGAAUAAAUGUCGAGGAGCAGUGGAAGGAGUCGUCCAAAGUCGAGGCUCUGCUGCACCACCUCCAGACGUUAAGUGAGGCCGGGUCGAAAAGCGUUGUUUUUAGUCAGUGGACAGCGUUUCUCGACUUGUUAGAGAUACCAUUGAAAAGGUACGAGCGUCUUUCCUUUUGGUGCUUUCUCUUUGUUUGUGUUUCUAACAAUGCACUGCCAGGAAGAACUUCUGUUUCGUCCGCUUGGACGGAACACUAUCGCAGCGUCAGCGAGAACAAGUGCUCAAAAACUUCAGCAAUAUUCCAGCCGUGGCCGUAAGCUUUUCGUGUUGCUUACCUCCAAGAAACCACUCUAUUUUGUGGACAGGUCAUGCUCAUGCUUUUCUCAUGGUAUGCGCUAUAGUUAUCUUUUUUAGCCAUCUUCCGAGUCGAGCAUCGGUCAGACGAAGAACGUAUCGAUCAAGCGAUUCAUCGUCAAAGUAAGCGCCAGUUGAAACUCUCUUUGACGUUUCUCAUGUCUCUAGAGGCGAGACAUGAGACAGAAGAACUGGAACAUAGUUAAAGAGGGGAAUAUGCUUCUAGCAUCGGCGCGUAGAUAGUUCAUAGGCUAUGGAUAUAGGAGCUUUGGCUAGGUUACAAGCAUUUCUAGGUUUCUUCGCGGCUAUGGCGGACAGCGAAGGAGCAGGCGAUCGCGUCGCAAGCGCGUUUGAUUCCGGCAGCAUCGGCGACGAGCAAGGUAUGCAUGCUAGGAUCGCCUCGAGAAGCAGCAGCAGCGCCGGCGCCGGCGCCGCGCCGCGAUUUCGCUGGCCUAGAGCCGAGUAUGAUCUCUAGGAAAUUGAGCUGAACGCUGAGGCUUUGCAGGCGAUCGCGUUGAUUCCUCUCGUCUCCGCGGCCGGGGCGGCUAGAAAGCCGGGGCGCAUUCUAGAGUUUCGGGGUUUCUGGGGCGAUCAGUCAUGUAGCGGGCAGUGAUUCUCUCACAGGGAGCUGGAAGUCAGCCAUGACGUGGAAUCCGCCACAAGUUCCUCCCAGCUUGUCCGCCUUGACUGCCACUACUCAGGCCGACGAUGAACUGGGCGUGGAUGUGUCGUCUCCCAGCGGCGAUUUGCUACUCCAAUUUCUCAAGAGUGGUGGGGGCGACGAUUAGCUGAGGAGCAGUAGCAGCUACAGGACCCAGCAGUCGCAGCUCACGGUCCCUGCCACAGCUUUGCUCCUUCUGGAGGAGGAGGAGAAGGUCCUCCUCCACGACCACUCUACGUCCCAGCAACAAGAUUUGGUGGGUGGUCACCUCACUUCCAGCGGCACCAAAACCCACUUUUCCCUUCGGAUCCAUUCUUGACUCCGUCGGACCACUGAUUUCUACGCUCGUUUGCUCCUCUUCCAGUCGAGAGACCGUUCCAUCCGCCAGUGCCGUAUCCUUUUCCAAAUGCUCCGACUUUCCAGCCUGCUGAUAAUGUGGUUCAUCCGCCGCAUUCCUCUGGGGAGCUUAAAGCUCGUCCUGGCCUUCACUUCGAGUCUCCGGUGUUUGGACCCAGCACAGCAGAGACCUCGGACUCCAAGCGCGCCCCAGAGCAGCCGAGGAGAUCGGUUACACCUGCGAAGGAUGACAAGCAACAAUUCCACGGCAAUGGUUCCGAGCUCCUUCAGUUGUUACAGGGUGGUCCUGGUCGUGUGAAGCCCACAGCCUCCACAAAGGUGGAUGCUACACGGGACAGUGGGGAUUCUGGAGAGCCAUCAAAGAAAGGAAGUCCAUCUGCUGUUCACGGCCCCAUAGGACCGCCGAGGCGUCAUGUCGUUUCUCCUCCGCAGAGUCCAAAUGACCUCCUUGGACGUUUGUGGGCUGCUCUUCCGUCGUCAAGCCACACUUUGUUUGACGGAGAAAGCGAACGCAAGACGUCAGCCCGGAGCUUUGGCGUUGAAGUGAACGAGAUGUCCCGGGAAGUCGAUGGAGGUGGAGCUGCUGGUUUCGCACUUUUGAAGCGAAGGGGAUCGGAGCCUGCCGCCUCGCACUACCUUUAAACGACUACGACUAUAACGACUCUAAGACAAAUGAUAAGCCGAGGACAAACUCAGCAUCCGGAAGAGUAUCGUGGGAGAUACGUAAAUGGAGAGGCCGAAUUUGAGCCCGGAGGCGAUGACUUUAGAGGUGCGGGAAGGCGUCGAGGUCCCGGUCGUGCAGACGCCAGACGCGGUGGUCGGGGUGCUGUUGGCCAGUGGAUUGCGGUAAAUGAGAGGCAUAAAGAUGCUGAGCCAAGACAUCACCUCCUGCGAUAUCUCUGAUGGAAGGGACGAGUCGCUUAAAUCUUCAAACGGGACUUAGUCGAAUGCUAGGAGAAAACAUCAACAGGAAUGGAGGAUCCGGACUACAAGGUUGCAAAGGCACGGUCUUUGGCAUCUCAACUUGAACGUCCAGGCUUGCCAUCGGGAAGUACGCAAAACUCUUCCGUUGGCGCGGCUUUUGAGGAGUCCAAACAGAGGCUCCAUAAUCUAGAUGCUUUGGAAGGAGAAGGCGUGACGACCUCUCUAGAUCUCGAGGAGCUACAAAUUGACGGUCACCGUCGUGAGGGUAAAGCUCCACAGUUUUACAAGGUUUGUGCUUGCUUUUUUUCUUUCUCUAUUUUCAUGUGUUUGUAUCUCUGGUUACAGCCGAAGGAGAACCGUUUCAGGACCUCUGAAGAACUAAAGGUAUGCAUAUGCAUAUUCUUAAUAUUGUUAUGUUUUCCAUGUUUUACCAUUUACUCUAUACACCAGAUUUUAAAAUACUCAAAACCACGAGAGUAAAGUAAUAUCCUGAGAAUACGAUUUGUAAGAAAAACAGAAACUGUGUCUUCUCCAAACGCUGCUGACGGCUUGGAAAUCUCUGUUUUUGUUUUUUGAGUGAUGCAAAAUGGUGUAGCAUUUGCGCAGAUCUUCAAAAACCCAAUCGAUGUCCACUGAAGGAGCAAGGUUUAAUCCCUGAAUUUUAUCUGGAGAUCCGGCCGCUCCUCAAGCCAUGGUGGAACUUUCGUACCUUUUUGGCAGCGUAGGUCUUUGAGCCUGGGAAAUAAGCCAAGGCCGUGAUUGUCUGAACUCAAUUGGGACCACACUACAUCAUCAUGAUCAGAGAGCACAAGUUCCUCCAAUCCGGGAAGGGAUGCAAUGGAUGAUGGAAUAUUUUCGAUCCUAUUCAAGGUUACAUCUCUUAGAGCAGUCAUCUGGUCUGUUGGCUCAAAGAAAUCAUUGGGGAGCUGCCUCAUACAGCCCUUCCGCAAAGAUAAUGCGAACCGUUUCACCUUCAGCUGUGAUCUCUCGGUUGGCAUCAAGAGUCUCCUCAUGUAACCUUCUACUCUCAGUUCAUCAAGGUCUUUGGGGAGUUGUGUCACAAAGAGAGGCAAAUGCUCCCAUGUAUUAUCAGGAGCCAGAUAGAAUCUUAACCACUUCAGGUUUGGAAGACUUGCUGUGAACUCGGACUGUGCAAUGUGUAGAUUUUGAAGGCCCAGAACUUCAAGGCAUGGGAACGAUCCAUCCAGACUGAAGAACUGGAUACCACUGCAGUCUAGGUGAAGUACUUGUAGCCGUUGAAAGCCCUUUAGCCAAGACAGGUCUUUCAUUGUCUCAUUGUUUGUGAUCCUUAAAUAUUGUAGCUGUAGCCAUUCGAGGCUUUCGGCAUUGUUUUCACCGUCUUGUACCCCGUCAAUCGAAAAGAGCUGAAGCUGUUUGGAAUUCUUAAACAUUCGCUUCCAGUCAAGUUUGAUAGUCGAUUGCACGCUAAUGUGACAUCGUCUUAGAUUGACAAGUUGCCACGGGCCGGUGAAAUCGCCAAAGUCCAUGCUCUUUGCACGCAACUCCAGUGUCUCAAUGUCCACUAGUGCACCAAGGUUGUGAGGUAUUUUUAUUGUUGCACCUUUGAAGUCUAGCUUUAAAUCUCUUAGCUUGUGUAGGCUUGAAAUUCCACUCAAAUCCAUAGCCACAGCUAACUCCUUACAAGAUUCAAGCUCCAGACGUUUGAGGCAUGGGAACGAUCCAUCCAGACUGAAGAACUGGAUACCACUGCAGUCUAGGUGAAGGUCUCGUAGCCGUUGAAAGCCCUUUAGCCAAGACAGGUCUUUCAUUGUCUCAUUGUUUAUGAUCGUUAAAAGUUGUAGCUGUGGCCAUUCAAGGCUUUCGGCAUUGUUUUCACCGUCUUGUACCCCGUCAAUGGUAAAGUCCUGAAGCUGUUUGGAAUUCUUAAACAUUCGCUUGCAGUCAAGUUUGAUAGUCGAUCCCACCCUAAUCUGACAUCGUCUUAGAUUGACAAGUUGCCACGGGCCGGUGAAAUCGCCAAAGUCCAUGCUCUUUGCCCACAACUCCAGUGUCUCAAUGUCCUCUAGUGCACCAAGGCCGUGAGGUAUUUUUAUUGUUGCACCUUUGAAGUCUAGCUUUAAAUCUCUUAGCUUGUGUAGGCUUGAAAUUCCACUCAAAUCCACAGCUAACUCCUCAAAGGAAUAAAGCUCCAGCUCUUCCAAGUUGAAUAAUUGGGGCACUAAUCCAAAGUUGAGAUUUCUGGUAGCCUUGCAUUUCAAAACCUUCAGUGAUGUCAAGCUGAAGAGCGCAUCUGGUAAUAUUGUCACACUUGAUGGUACAAGGCACAUCUCUCGAAGGUCAAGCACUUGAAGGUUUCUCAGCUUGGAUAUGCUCUCUGGAAUAAAAGGGACCAAAUUAUCGCAUCCCUUGAAGCUCAAUACCUUGACAUUUUGGAUGUGAUCUAUAAUAAGACUGACAUCCACACCAGAAAUUUCAUGACAUCCAUCGAGAAGCAAGACAUCUCGCACAUGAAUGUCAGACAAAAGGCUGCUUGUAACCUUCUUUCCAAUGAAUGAAACUUUAGAAAAUGUUGGAGAAAUCCCAGGUGGACAAUCAUAGCCAAACAGGCAUCCCUUCUCGUGCUCUUCCUGGGGUGGGUACUUCCCUUUCAAGAUUCUUAUGCACAGCUUGCGUACCAUAUCGUGCACAGUUACAGACUUUUCCCGAAGUCUUUUCCCACUUAAAUAUGUCUUCACUAGGCAUCUUCGUUUCAGUUCACUAACAAUCUGCAGAGGCGAGAGUUCUGACCCAACCGCUAUCCAACAUUUUCUCAGAUCAUCAAAGUCGAUUUGCUCAUCUUCUGGAAACGCAGCCACAUAGAGAAAGCACUCUUGCAGCUUUUCAUCCUUAUUAAAGCGUCCCAGCUCGUCAUAGCUAAACUUCAAGCGCUGGAACAUCCGCUUCUCAAUGUCCCCGUCAUUCAACAAAUGCAUCUUCUGAUAGCGUUCUUUCCACACCUGUGGCCCCUCAUUCCUGUAGACAGCCAUGGCACUGCCAAUCACUUCAAGAGCUAAAGGGAGCCCCUCACAUUUGCUAGCUAUUCUCUCGGCAACUUUCACAAUGUCCGGAUCACUAGGUAGUGAAUCAUAAAAGGCAAACUUCCAAAACAUCUUUUUGCUCUCGUCCUCUGAUAGCUUAUGCACAGGAAAUACCUUUGCACCCAGCUUGCUCAAAAUGUCUUCCUUUCUGGUUGUUACCAGCACCCGGCUGUAAGAGGACAGCCCUGCUAUAAAAUCCAGUCCCUUGGCCAAGCUCAUCUCCCACACAUCAUCCAGUAUCAGCAAGACACGAAUUCCACGAGCAACAUUUUGUGCCAAGUGCUGCACAUGCUCAAGGGUGCCUGCAUUUUGGGCCCUCUCUUUCAUGCCGCCCCAGUCAAGAGCGUUGAGGAGCUGGGCCCUGAGAUCAUCCUCCGAUGCAUCUUUCUUGACAGUGAUCCAUACAAUGUUGUCAUGGAAAUGCUGCCGGACCCUCUGGUCAUUGUGCACGAAGCUUGCAAGGGUGGUCUUGCCACACCCUCCCAUUCCCAGGAGUCCAAACCAUUUCCCCGGGGCUUGUGGAUCCAGGAGGGCAUUCACCACCUCAUCCAGCUGCUCCCCAUGGCGGCCAAACAUGUCGUUGGCCUCGGGAACACCAUGCCGUACAUAGUUUACGAGACCUCUGUCUUGUGGACAACUCCGUACGGAAAAGCUGGUGCUCGGCUGUAUCCCUCUCAACUCUCGCUCGUACCUUUCAAUGUGCGGGAGGAGAUCGUUCUCGCAAGUGCGUACCAGCUCCGAAAUCGCGCCAGAUCGCUUCUCCCUGCGCGACAGAUCCAUCUUUUAGCUCCAUUGCUUCAAACAUGAAUUCGAAUAAGCCUUACUGUGAUCCAAGCAGCGCUUGCGCCUUCUUAGUCCAUUCAGUCAGUUCAGUCAGCCACGCCUCAGCCUCACCAGAGUAGCGGAAAUCUGGAUUCCUGUGCUUGGGAGCAUUAAACUUGUCAAGCGUGGCCUGGAUUCUGGAUGCCCUCUUCUUUAGCUCCUCAAUGUGGACAUUCAGCUCAUGCUCGUGACCUUGGAUCUGCGACAGGAGAUCGCCGUAGGCACUUAAGGACUUCGCGAUCUCGUUACUCCGCUUGUACCUAUAGGAAGUGGAGAAGUUCAACCAGCUGCCUGCCAUUUCUACACACACACACACAAAAGAUAAAAUGCUACUGUACCGACCGCUUUAUGGGGCUCCAGAUCCUGUUGUGGCGUGAUCCCAAGAGUGCUUGUGCCGUGGUGUUCCAUUUCCUGACACGCUCCAAGCAUUCCUCGGCCGCUUGAGAGAACGUGAAGCCAGGAUUCUGCUGCUUGUGAUCACUGAAAGCGUUGAUCUUGUGCCGGAUGUGGGGCGCCUUGUUCUCCAGCGUUUCAAUGUUGGCAUUGCAGUCCCAUAUCUUCUUAGCAGGGCGCAGAGCCAAGCCACACAAGGCGCUUGCCAAGGAGCCCACAACCUCCAUGCCUGUAGACCUACAAGUCAAGGUCGUUUCCCUCUUGCAAUGCCAGCUGUGGCUCUCUAUCUCUCUCUCUCUCUCAUACACAAAAUAGCUGGGAGGCCUUGACAGAUUUUCGAUGGCCUGCACAAACCAAACCAGUUCUCGUGGAACAUCUUGCUGCGAACGUAUGUUGCAAAUCGUAGGAUGCCCCCGAUUCCAUGGGAACAGGUUUAUGGAUGAGGAAAAGAAGCUGUUUGAUUCGAUCGCUUCUCGUGAAAUAUUAUGAUCAAGGGGCUCGACUUCGCAAAGAGGAAAGAUGCUAUCUCUUCUGGCAGCACCUGCUCGAAUAAGGCAUUUGGAAGAAGCAAAAACUCUCCUUUUAAUGCGAUGCCUCGGAGGAAAAACGUGCUUGCAAGAAACACAAUGAUUGUCAACCAUACGCUCUCAAAGAGCCUAUUUGACCAGAGCCAUACAGGAAUCUUGUGUCUUGGGCAGGCAUGCUACAACGCAUCUUUAAAUGAAGGUGGAAGUUGCAACUUCGAUGAUGCCGAACUAAAACUCUCUCUCAUAACUCUGGCUCUCUCUCUCUCUCUCUCUCUCAAUAAUAACGUUUUGAGCAGCUGUUCUUCCAUCCAGGCAUUUGCUGUAUUCGUUCAUCUUUGCAUAAACCCCAGCGACCUUCACAACAUAAGAGCUAGAGUGAUUCACGGUGAGCACUGCAACGAUUGCUACCUCGCCAAUCUCAUCGUCCAAAAGUAUGGGGGGCUGUGGGGUACUCGACAGAUGUUCACUGGAACAUCUUUCUGGGAAAAAUCGGUUGAGCGGAGAUCCAAGAGCGAUGUGGUCGCAUGGAACUUGAUCCUCGCAGCGUAUGCCUAAAACGCUCAGUCUAAAGAGAUGUUUCUUUAGAAAAACAAUGAUCAUUCUUUGUUUUACGAGCACGCAAAGUACUUGUGUCUGAGAGUAUGAGCAUCGUCUUGUCUCUUGUACGGCGUUGAUGCAGGCGUUUUGAAAUAUAUGGCUCCUCUGCCGAUCUUUGAUGGGAUCAUGGCGAUCUUGUCACCGACGUCUUGAAAGAUCUUAGAUACUAUCCACGAUCGCCCAGUCGCCUCCUCGAACGCGAUCAUGGCGAUGGGUGCUGCAUAUCAUUCUAUUCCCACCCGGACGUGAUCUGCAAUUAUCGUCUUUACUUCUCCAUUCUAGGGUUCUUUCUUGGAGGGGAUUUAGGUUUUUAAUUGCCCGCGUGAUCGAUGCGGCUUGCCGGCGGAGAAGGCUCAGAAAUCCCCAUUACCUUGUGCAGCUCCAGAACGCCGAUCAAGGCCGCCCCCAGCGCCGUCUCCUUGACAACGAAAGCUUUCGGGCCGUGCGGGAUGUCCUUGGCAGCGAUGUCUGCGACAUGGAUCUCGUCCACGCGCUACACUUGGCGAGGAACGAUUUGCAAGUGGCCGUGCUCGACACUCCGGGUUUUAGAAAUAGGAAGAGGCUCCAGGCGAGGAACGAUUUGCAAGUGGCCGCCCACAUUGUGCUCGACACUCCUGCAAAAAACUCCUGCAAAAGCUGAGGCUUCUAGGACAGCAAAAAUUUCCGAGGUGAGCAAUGAUAGUGGAGCAGAGGAUUUAUAUGAUUCGGGAGUAGAAAGUGGAGCAAUCGAUGGUGGGGAAGAAGAGGUAAACAAGAUUAUGACUGGAGGAGGAAACGAUGCCGAGGUGGAAAGAACAACAGUGGUGGAGAGCUCCAUUGAGACUGUCAGGAAACAUGGCGAGGCUGUUUCUAGCGCCUUAGCUGGACUUUCAAUCAGAGGUAGUGCCUUGACCCACGGUAAUCCCGUUAAGAUGGAAGCUGGCUGUGAUUCCGUGAAAGCUGAAGCUUCGGUUUCGAUCGCAGCUGGAUGUGAUCCUACGAAAGUAGAUGGCUUGGUGAAGAUGGAAGCUGGUUGUUUUAGAUGCAGAGAGGUGGUGGCUUCUCCAAGAGACUGAAGUUGCCGGGUACUCGACGUCCAGGGGAUGCCGGAUUCGAGUUGGCGAGUUCGUGUCCUUCAAUUUUCCCAAGCCUGAAGCCGAAAGUAAGAAGAAGUUCUUUGAGCACAAGAAGGUUCGGCCGAAAGCAAGCUCCGACAUUGUAAGGUUCUUGACAAAAGCUUCAGGAGAGGUACGUUUCACUUGACUUGUUUCUUCGUUUUAAUUCUAACCAUUUGCUCACAGAGAGGACGGCUUCCAGCCGACUGGUGAUACCUUUGGGAAGUGCAAAAUGGCACCAGAGGCUCUUUCUCUUAUGAGCAGCAUAGUUCUCCAUUUGAGGUAGAGUUUUCUGUGUUUACCAGAGACGUUACGUAUAUGAUGUGCUUGCAGAGUUUAAAGCCUUACGAGGAGGGGGAUGAGCGCGGAUUGAAGCUUCUGCAAGCUAUCUUGAAGCCGUUAAUGCUUCGAAGAAAAAAAGAUUCAACUGAUAAAGAAGAAAGGUAAGCAUUUUUUUCUUUGCACCGUGCCUUGUCUUGUAUUCACUCACAAGUUGGAUUCACAGACCAAUUCCUGUUCUCCAACCGGCUCAAUGUGAAGUUAUUGAAUGCAAACUAUCUGAGCCUGAAUGCCCUUUACCACAGAUCUAAGGCAUGAAGAACUUCUCUUUCUUUUAUUUUCUCGUUUUUUCUGAACACGUUUUUGCUUUUGUGAUCAGGUAAAAUUCGAUCAGUUCGUUGAACAAGGUAAAGUUCUCCAUAACUAUGCCUCGAUCCUCGAACUGCUACUUCGAUUACGGCAAGCUUGUGAUCAUCCUUUUCUUGUUCUGAGGUAGAAAAUGCAUCCUCUUAUGUCUGAAGUUCCUGACGUUUUCUUCGUCACGCAGCCGUGGCGAUACUGAAGACUUUGCGGACCUGGGAAAGCUGGCUAGACGUUUCUUGGACAAGAAUUCCUCCCAGGUGCCUUCGACGGCUAUGUCAAAGAGGUGGUGGAUGAUAUUCGUAAAGGAGAAAGUGCUGAGUGCCCAAUUUGUUUGGAGAUGCACGCAGUUCUUACACCAUGCGCUCAUUGAAUGUGAGCGCCGGAGGUCCCUGUCCAAUAUCCGAGGUAACAUAUUGUUUUUUUUCUCGAGCUCUUUUCCAUAUCCAUAGCUAUCAUGCAGGCGUUCCUGUACGAAAUAGGAACUCAUAACUGUACCAACAAGUAAUCGGUUUCGAAUAAAUGUCGAGGAGCAGUGGAAGGAGUCGUCCAAAGUCGAGGCUCUGCUGCACCACCUCCAGACGUUAAGUGAGGCCGGGUCGAAAAGCGUUGUUUUUAGUCAGUGGACAGCGUUUCUCGACUUGUUAGAGAUACCAUUGAAAAGGUACGAGCGUCUUUCCUUUUGGUGCUUUCUCUUUGUUUGUGUUUCUAACAAUGCACUGCCAGGAAGAACUUCUGUUUCGUCCGCUUGGACGGAACACUAUCGCAGCGUCAGCGAGAACAAGUGCUCAAAAACUUCAGCAAUAUUCCAGCCGUGGCCGUAAGCUUUUCGUGUUGCUUACCUCCAAGAAACCACUCUAUUUUGUGGACAGGUCAUGCUCAUGCUUUUCUCAUGGUAUGCGCUAUAGUUAUCUUUUUUAGCCAUCUUCCGAGUCGAGCAUCGGUCAGACGAAGAACGUAUCGAUCAAGCGAUUCAUCGUCAAAGUAAGCGCCAGUUGAAACUCUCUUUGACGUUUCUCAUGUCUCUAGAGCAGGACUCGGUGGAGGAGAGAAUGCAACAGGUCCAAGCGAGGAAGCAGCGAUUGAUCGCGGGGGCUCUCACAGACGAAGAGGUGCGAAGCGCUCGAAUCGAGGAGCUCAAAAUGCUAUUUAGAUGAGAAGAACUGGAACAUAGUUAAAGAGGGGAAUAUUAAAGAGGGGAAUAUGCUUCUAGCAUCGGCGCGUAGAUAGUUCAUAGGCUAUGGAUAUAGGAGCUUUGGCUAGGUUACAAGCAUUUCUAGGUUUCUUCGCGGCUAUGGCGGACAGCGAAGGAGCAGGCGAUCGCGUCGCAAGCGCGUUUGAUUCCGGCAGCAUCGGCGACGAGCAAGGUAUGCAUGCUAGGAUCGCCUCGAGAAGCAGCAGCAGCGCCGGCGCCGGCGCCGCGCCGCGAUUUCGCUGGCCUAGAGCCGAGUAGCCGAUCUAGAUUCAUGCAAGCAUAUGAUCUCUAGGAAAUUGAGCUGAACGCUGAGGCUUUGCAGGCGAUCGCGUCGAUUCCUCUGGUCUCCGCGGCCGGGGCGGCUAGAAAGCCGGGGCGCAUUCUAGAGUUUCGGGGUUUCUGGGGCGAUCAGUCAUGUAGCGGGCAGUGAUUCUCUCACAGGGAGCUGGAAGUCAGCCAUGACGUGGAAUCCGCCACAAGUUCCUCCCAGCUUGUCCGCCUUGACUGCCACUACUCAGGCCGACGAUGAACUGGGCGUGGAUGUGUCGUCUCCCAGCGGCGAUUUGCUACUCCAAUUUCUCAAGAGUGGUGGGGGCGACGAGCAGCUGAGGAGCAGUAGCAGCUACAGGACCCAGCAGUCGCAGCUCACGGUCCCUGCCACAGCUUUGCUCCUUCUGGAGGAGGAGGAGAAGGUCCUCCUCCACGACCACUCUACGUCCCAGCAACAAGAUUUGGUGGGUGGUCACCUCACUUCCAGCGGCACCAAAACCCACUUUUCCCUUCGGAUCCAUUCUUGACUCCGUCGGACCACUGAUUUCGACGCUCGUUUGCUCCUCUUCCAGUCGAGAGACCGUUCCAUCCGCCAGUGCCGUAUCCUUCUCCAAAUGCUCCGACUUUCCAGCCUGCUGAUAAUGUGGUUCAUCCGCCGCAUUCCUCUGGGGAGCUUAAAGCUCGUCCUGGCCUUCACUUCGAGUCUCCGGUGUUUGGACCCAGCGCAGCAGAGACCUCGGACUCCAAGCGCGCCCCAGAGCAGCCGAGGAGAUCGGUUACACCUGCGAAGGAUGACAAGCAACAAUUCCACGGCAAUGGUUCCGAGCUCCUUCAGUUGUUACAGGGUGGUCCUGGUCGUGUGAAGCCCACAGCCUCCACAAAGGUGGAUGCUACACAGGACAGUGGGGAUUCUGGAGAGCCAUCAAAGAAAGGAAGUCCAUCUGCUGUUCACGGCCCCAUAGGACCGCCGAGGCGUCAUGUCGUUUCUCCUCCGCAGAGUCCAAAUGACCUCCUUGGACGUUUGUGGGCUGCUCUUCCGUCGUCAAGCCACACUUCGUUUGACGGAGAAAGCGAAUGCAAGACGUCAGCCCGGAGCUUUGGCGUUGAAGUGAACGAGAUGUCCCGGGAAGUCGAUGGAGGUGGAGCUGCUGGUUUCGCACUUUUGAAGCGAAGGGGAUCGGAGCCUGCCGCCUCGCACUACCUUUAAACGACUACGACUAUAACGACUCUUAAGACAAAUGAUAAGCCGAGGACAAACUCAGCAUCCGGAAGACUACAGGACUAUCGUGGGAGAUACGUAAAUGGAGAGGCCGAAUUUGAGCCCGGAGGCGAUGACUUUAGAGAUGCGGGAAGGCGUCGAGGUCCCGGUCGUGCAGACGCCAGACGCGGUGGUCGGGGUGCUGUUGGCCAGUGGAUUGCGGUAAGUGAGAGGCAUAAAGAUGCUGAGCCAAGUGACAUCACCUCCUGCGGUAUCUCUGAUGGAAGGGACGAGUCGCUUAAAUCUUGAAACGGGACUUAGUCGAAUGCUCGGAGAAAACAUCAACAGGAAUGGAGGAUAAAACAGGCCGACUCAAAGGCAGCAUUUCCAGCGGAGGAAAAACCGGACUACAAGGUUCCAAAGGCACGGUCUUUGGCAUCUCAACUUGAACGUCCAGGCUUGCCAUCGGGAAGUACGCAAAUCUCUUCCGUUGGUGCGGCUUUUGAGGAGUCCAAACAGCGGCUCCAUAAUCUAGAUGCUUUGGAAGGAGAAGGCGUGACGACCUCUCUAGAUCUCGAGGAGCUACAAAUUGACGGUCACCGUCGUGAGGGUAAAGCUCCACAGUUUACAAGGUUUGUGCUUGCUUUUUUUCUUUCUUUAUUUUCAUGUGUUUGUAUCUCUGGUUACAGCCGAAGGAGAACCGUUUCAGGGAGUCCAGACGCGUCAUUCCCAUGCACAGACGUGAUCUUCUUUACCGACUGGAUCUGCUGAGUUUCACUCGUGAGCUUUUCUGCCUCUACGACGAGCUUAUACCAACCGAAGAAGGGGAGGUCCGGAGAAGGAAGUUCUUCUCGAAGCUUAAGUCCCUUUUCGAGAGGGAGCUCCCGGGAACACGGCUCUUUCUUUUCGGAUCGUGUGUUAAUGCGUUUGGAGUUUGUAACAGUGACAUCGAUGUUUGCCUCUCCAUUGAUGAGGAAGAACCAAACAAGAUCGAAACUCAACGUGACUCAUGGGAUAGUUUCUUAUCCGAAUUCUUAGCCAUCCUCCGAUCCAGAGAACUUUCCUUUCAUUGUUCUUGGCAACAGGGUUGAUGUCGAUGGAGAGAACAGUAGAGUGGUGAGCUCUUUUGUUUCAUCUCUUGCCUCACUUUAAAGCUUGUGUGUCCAGGUUUCCGAGAAGAAAGCCAAGGCCUGGUGUGCUUCCAAGGGAAACAUUCUAUACUUUGAGGCGUCUGCCAAGGAAGACUACAACCUGGAGGCUGCGUUUCAAUGCAUUGCCAAGAAUGCCUUGAGGAGCGAACCCGAGGAAGACUUGUAACUUUUGCUUGUUUCUUCUUGUGAUGUUUCAAGCUCACAUUUAACUUCUGGCAGCAGCUAUCUUCCAGAGACAAUGGACAUUACAAAUAACAACAGAUGGCCAAGAUCGUCUGGCUGCGAGUGCUGAUCUACUACUACUGUCCCUCUAUCGAUGAGUGUUUUCGCUUUCAUUUUAUAUGUUUUUUUAAUUUCUUUUUAUUUUUACUCUCUCCUUUCGAUCGUUGGCCUUGGAUUUUUUCCCUUCUCAAUUUUUUUUUCUUUUUGCUACGAAAUAAUUUUUCUUCUUCGAUCUUGUAUCUAUUUACUACUAGUAGUGUGCAAAUUCUUGUGUUUGUGUAUUAUUAAAUUUUCUUCGUUUCUAAUGGAUUGCUAGUUGACGAUAAUUGUGUCACAACAUGCCUAGUUUUUCUGGAUUCCACAAGUCUGGGUUGAAAAUAAGCAAAGGCUGUGAUUGACACAAGAGUUUCCAAUCCUUGGCAGUGAUGCAACUUCGAAGCUGUGUAACCCUUUCAUUGUCUUAUUCAGCCACCAACUUCAUUGUCCAAAAGUAUGGGGAAUGUGGCAAUGUGGAUGGCUUGCACAAACCAAACCAAUCAGGAUCGAGAGAGAUCGCGCUACAUUGAUCUCGAAAGUGCAUAUUCUUAAUAUUGUUAUGUUUUCCAUAUUUUACCAUUUAUUCUAUACACAAGGUUUUAAAAUACUAGUAAUAUCGAUUUGUAAGAAAAAAAAAGAAACUGUUUCUUCUCCAAACGCUGCUGACGCUGUGAAAUCUCUGUUUUCGUUUUUUGAUGUCCUGCUUGUGAUGCAAAAUAGUCGCAGAUCUUCAAGAACCCAAUCAACGUCCACGGAAGGAGCAAGGUUUAUUAGGCGCCGAAACUUAUCUGGAGAUCCGGCCGUUCCACAAGCCAAGGUGGAACUUUCGUACCUUUUGGGCACCAUAGGAAUUUGAGCCUUGGAAAUAAGUGAUUGUCUGAACUCAAUUGGGGCCACACUACAUCAUCAUGAUCAGAGAGCACAAGUUCCUCCAAUCCUGGAAGGGAUGCAAUGGAUGAUGGAAUAUCUUCGAUCCCAGACAAGCGCACACGUCUUAAAAGAGUCAUUUGGUCUGUUGGCUCAAAGAAAUCAUUGGGGAGCUUACAGCGCAAAGAUAAUGUGAACCGUUUCACCUUCAGCUGUGAUCUCUCGGUUGGCAUCAAGAGUCUCCUCAUGUAACUUUUUAUAUCAACAUCCAGUGUAUCAAGGUCUUUGGGGAGUUGUGUCACAAAGAGAGGCAAAUGCUCCCAUGCAUUAUCAGGAGCCAGAUUGAAUGUUAAACUUUUCAGGUUUGGAAGACUUGCUGCCAAAUCGUCCUUGAACUCGGACUGUGCAAUGUGCAGAUUUCGAAGCUCCAGACGUUCGAGGCAUGGGAACGAUCCAUCCAGACUGAAGAACUGGAUACCAAUGCAGUCUAGGAGAAGUUCUCGUAGCCGUUGAAAGCCCUUUACCCAACACAAGUCUUUCAUUGUCUCAUUCUUUCUGAUCCAUAAAAUUUGUAACUGUGACCAUUCAAGGCUUUCGGCAUUGUUUUCACCAUCUCGUACCCCGUCAAUGGAAAAGCUCCAAAGCUGUUUGGAAUUCUUAAACAUUCGCUUCCAGUCAAGUUUGAUAGUCGAUUGCACGCUAAUGUCACAUCGUCUUAGAUUGACAAGUUGCCACAGGCUGGUGAAAUCACCAAAGUCCAUGCUCUUUGCACGCCACACCAGUGUCUCAAUGCCCUCUAGUGCACCAAGGCUGUGAGGUAUUUUUAUUGUUGCACCAUAGAGGUUUAGCUUUAAAUGUCUUAGCUUGUGUAAGAUUGAAAUUCCACUCAAAUCCACAGCUAACUCCUCAAAGGAAUCAAGCUCCAGCUCUUCCAAGUUGAAUAAUUGAGGCAGUAAUGCAAAGUUGAAUUUUCUGAUGUCAUUGCAUUUCAAAACCUUCAGUGAUGUCAAGCUGAAGAGCGCAUCUGGUAAUAUUGUCACACUUGAAUAUAGAAGGUCAAGCACUUGAAGGUUUCUCAGCUUGGAUAUGCUCUCUGCAAUAAAACGGACCAAAUUAACGCAUCUAUUCAAGCUCAAUACCUUGACGUUUUGGAUGUGAUCUAUAUCCACACCAGAAAUUACAUUACAUCCAUCGAGAAGCAAGACAUCUCGCACAUGAAUGUCAGACAAAAGGCUGCUUGUAACCUUCUUUCCAAUGAAUGAAACUUUAGAAAAUGUUGGAGAAAUCCCAGGUGGACAAUCAUAGCCAAACAGGCAUCCCUUCUCAUGCUCUUCCUGGGGUGGGUACUUCCCUUUCAAGAUUCUUAUGCACAGCUUGCGUACCAUAUCGUGCACAGUUACAUACUUAUACCAUGGAGAACCAGUUGUCUUCACUAGGCAUCUUCGUUUCAGUUCACUAACAAUCUGCAGAGGCGGGAGUUCUGACCCAACCGCUAUCCAACAUUUUCUCAGAUCAUCAAACUGGAUUCGCUCAUCUUCUGGAAACGCAGCCACAUAGAGAAAGCAUUCUUGCAGCUUUUCAUCCUUAUUAAAGCGUCCCAGCUCGUCAUAGCUAAACUUCAAGGGCCGGAACAUCCGCUUCUCAAUGUCCCCGUCAUUCAACAAAUGCAUCUUCUGAUAGCGUUCUUCCCACACCUGUGGCCCCUUAUUCCUGUAGACAGCCAUGGCACUGCCAAUCACUUCAAGAGCUAAAGGGAGCCCCUCACAUUUGCUAGCUAUUCUCUCGGCAACUUUCACAAUGUCCGGAUCACUAGGUAGUGAAUCACGAAAGGCAAACUUCCAAAACAUCUUUUCGCUCUCGGCCUUUGAUAGCAUACACACACGAAAUGUUUUUGCACCCAGCAUGCUCAAAAUGCCUUUCUUUCUGGUUGUUACCAGCACCCGGCUGUAAGAGGACGGCCCUGCUGUAAAAUCCAGUCCCUUGGUCAAGCUCAUUUCCCACACAUCAUCCAGUAUCAACAAGACAUGGUUGCCACGAGCAACAUUUUGUGCCAUCUGUUGCACAUGCUCAAUGGUGCCUGCAUUUUGGGCCCUCUCCUUCAUGUCGCCCCAUUCAAGAGCGUUGAGGAGCUGGGCCCUGAGAUCAUCCUCCGAUGCAUCUUUCUUGACAGUAAUCCACACAAUGUUGUCAUGGAAAUGCUGCCGGACCCUCUGGUCAUUGUGCACGAAGCUUGCAAGGGUGGUCUUGCCACACCCUCCCAUUCCCAGGAGUCCAAACCAUUUCCCCGGGGCUUGUGGAUCCAGGAGGGCAUUCACCACCUCAUCCACCUGCUCCCCAUGGCGGCCAAACAUGUCGUUGGCCUCGGGAACACCACGCGGUACAUAGUUUACGAGACCUCUGUCUUGUGGACAACUCCGUACGGAAAAGCUGGUGCUCGACUGUAUCACUCUCAACUCUUCUCGCUCGUACCUUUCAAUCUGCGGGAGGAGAUCGUCCUCGCAAGUGCGUACCAGCUCCAAAAUCGCGCCAGAUCGCUUCUCCCUGCGCGAUAGAUCCAUCUUUUAGCUUCAUUGCUUCAAACAUGAAUUCGAAUAAGCCUUACUGUGAUCCAAGCAGCGCUUGCGCCUUCUCAGUCCAUUCAGUCAGUUCAGUCAGCCACGCCUCAGCCUCACCAGAGUAGCGGAAAUCUGGAUUCCUGUGCUUGGGAGCAUUAAACUUGUCAAGCGUGGCCUGGAUUCUGGAUGCCCUCUUCUUUAGCUCCUGCCAUUUCUACACACAGCUGCCUGCCAUUUCUACACACACACACACACAAAAGAUAAAAUGCUACUGUACCGACCGCUUUAUGGGGCUCCAGAUCCUGUUGUGGCGUGAUCGCAAGAGUGCUUGUGCCGUGGUGUUCCAUUUCCUGACACGCUCCAAGCAUUUCUCGGCCGCUUCAGAGAACAUAAAGCCAGGUCCAUUUCGCUCCUUGUGGCGAUCGAAAGCGUUGAUCUUGGCCUGGAUGUGGUGCGCCUUGUUCUCCAGCGUUUCAAUGUUGGCAUUGCAGUCUCUUAGCAGGGCCCAGAGCCAAGCCACACAAGACGCCUGUCAAGGAGCCCACAACCUCCAUGCCUGUAGACCUACAAGUAAAGGUCGUCUCCCAGAACUCUUGGCCUUGGUACCCCCUCUUAAAAUGAACAGUAAUUCUCAGAGGGGUAUAAGCUGUUACAAGUGACUUGAGUUUAAUUGGAGUUGAUUGCUUGCAGUAGAGCGCGUAGUAGAGGGCCUCGUGCAGCACCCUCCCUCUUGCAAUGCCAGCUGUGGCUCUCUCUCUCUCUCUCUCUCUCCUCGUGCAGCACCCUCCCUCUCUCUCUCACUCUCUCUCAUUGCUCCGACAAGCAUGCUCCGACAUUGUAAGUUUCUCCAGGAGAGGUAACUUUUGUCGCUUUGUUUUAGUUGCACACAGAUAGGACGCGUUCCAGCUGACUGGGCCACGUGUUUGAUUGCUUUGGGUCAGGAAAGCGUACUCUGGGUCAUUCUUCACUAUUUUUGAGACUAGAAUUUUUGGUUUAUUUUGUAAUGGAAAACAAUAUACUUUUGAACUUGCCAAGCUUGUAUAUAUUAUAUAAUAUAUGAGGAAAAAGAAGUGAAAUACACUGUAAAUGCAUAAAAAAAUAACAACUAUUAAUAAAGUAAUAUAAUAACAAAUUAAUAUAAGUAGUUUUAUUUUUUUCCACUCAAAUUUAGCAAAUACUUGCAAGAAUUUUCUAAGCUUAAUAUAACAAUUUUAAAAAAAUUAGUGGAAUUACUUCUUGAAUUUAAGUUUUCUCUUGCUAACAUGAAGUAAUUCUAUAAGAAUGAAAACUAUAUUUAUCAGUUGCCAAAUGCCUACAAAAUUAAAACUGAAUAAACCUUAAAGUACAUUGUUGAGCAGAGUGUGAAAUUUAGACAAUUGAUUAUAUCUAAAGAGGCUUGGUCCAUAAAUACUUGGGACUACACCACUAUGACAUUAAAAAAUUAAAAUGUAAUUAAAACCAUAACUAUUAUAUAAAAAUUUAUAUGCAACACUAUAUCUGAAUUGUGAAUAAAAUUAUAUGAACAAAAUUGGCAAACAUCAGUUUCAAAACUAUAUAGGUAUCAGUAAAUUAUAUAGAAAAGUAUAUGUACAUUUAUUCUCAAAAUACAACUCAAUCAUAUGCAAAACUAUACAAAAAACCAUUCAUUAUGAUUGCCAAAUAGAGCAUCUAUCAUGAUGAAAACUAUGUACAAAACCAUUAGUAAUUAAGAAACCAAUCAUGAAACCAUUAAAGUCACAUAUGGUUUAACACAACCAUCUUGUUUUGGUACUAGUUAUAGUAAAAAACCAUAUUGAUGAGCGUGUUGUGGUUGUAAUGCUGGGCAACACUAUGCGACACUCCGGGUUUUAGAAAUAGGAAGAGGCUCCAGCUUAAGGCUCCGACCCCAGCGUUGGUAAAUCGUCGACGACAGGGAGUUCUAGAUCUACGGUGACAACAUAGGCCCCUGCGGCAAAAUGUUCCAUCGGCAGUGGAUCGCCAAAAACUCCUGCAAAAGCUGAGGCUUCUAGGACAGCAAAACUUGCCGAGGUGAGCAAUGAUAGUGGAGCAGAGGAUUCAUAUGAUUCGGGAGUAGAAAGUGGAGCAAUCGAUGGUGGAGAAGAAGAGGUAAACAAGAUCAUGACUGGAGGAGGAAACAAUGCCGAGGUGGAAAGAACAACAGUGGUGGAGAGCUCCAUUGAGACUGUCAGGAAACAUGGCGAGGCUGUUUCUAGCGCCUUAGCUGGACUUUCAAUCAGAGGUAGUGCCUUGACCCACGGUAAUCCCGUUAAGAUGGAAGAUGGUUGUGGUUCCGUGAAAGCUGAAGCUUCGGCUUCGAUCGCAGCUGGAUGUGAUCCUAUGAAAGUAGAUGGGUUGGUGAAGAUGGAAGCUGGUUUUGAGUCUGCAAGAGUCGAAGCUCCGGUUGGCUCAGUGAAGAUGGAACCUGGUAAUGAUCCUGUGAAAGUUGAAACUCCAUUCGGGGGUGGUAAAGCUGCCCAUUUGUCUGAAGCGCAGUUGGUUCCAAUAGAAAAUGACACGGCUAAAGCUGCAGAGAAGCAACCGGUUGUUUUAGAUGCAGAGAGGUGGUGGCUUCUCCAAGAGACUGAAGUUGCCGGGUACUCGACGUCCAGGGGAUGCCGGAUUCGUGUUGGCGAGUUCGUGUCCUUCAAUUUUCCCAAGCCUGAAGCCGAAAGUAAGAAGAAGUUCUUUGAGCACAAGAAGGUUCGGCCGAAAGCGAGCUCCGACAUUGUAAGGUUCUUGACAAAAGCUUCAGGAGAGGUACGUUUCACUUGACUUGUUUCUUCGUUUUAAUUCUAACCAUUUGCUCACAGAGAGGACGGCUUCCAGCCGACUGGUGAUACCUUUGGGAAGUGCAAAAUGGCACCAGAGGCUCUUUCUCUUAUGAACAGCAUAGUUCUCCAUUUUUCUGUGUUUACCAGAGACGUUACGUAUAUGAUGUGCUUGCAGAGUUUAUAUCAACAAGUCAGAAGCCUUACGAAGAGGGGGAUGAGCGCGGAUUGAAGCUUCUGCAAGCUAUCUUGAAGCCGUUAAUGCUUCGAAGAACAAAAGAUUCAACUGAUAAAGAAGGAAGGUAAGCAUUUUUUCCUUUGCACCGUGCCUUGUCUUGUAUUCACUCACAAGUUGGAUUCACAGACCAAUCUUGUUCUCCAACCGGCUCAAUAUGAAGUUAUUGUAUCCAUAUCCAUAGCUAUCAUGCAGGCGUUCCUGUACGAAAUAGGAACUCAUAACUGUACCAACAAGUAAUCGGUUUCGAAUAAAUGUCGAGGAGCAGUGGAAGGAGUCGUCCAAAGUCGAGGCUCUGCUGCACCACCUCCAGACGUUAAGUGAGGCCGAGUCGAAAAGCGUUGUUUUUAGUCAGUGGACAGCGUUUCUCGACUUGUUAGAGAUACCAUUGAAAAGGUACGAGCGUCUUUCCUUUUGGUGCUUUCUCUUUGUUUGUGUUUCUAACAAUGCACUGCCAGGACGAACUUCUGUUUCGUCCGCUUGGACGGAACACACUCGCAGCGUCAGCGAGAACAAGUGCUCAAAAACUUCAGCAAUAUUCCAGCCGUGGCCGUAAGCUUUUUGUGUUGCUUACCUCCAAGAAACCACUCUAUUUUGUGGACAGGUCAUGCUCAUGCUUUUCAUGGUAUGUGCUAUAGUUUUCUUUUUUAGCCAUCUUCCGAGUCGAGCAUCGGUCAGACGAAGAACGUAUCGAUCAAGCGAUUCAUCGUCAAAGUAAGUGCCACUUGAAACUCUCUUUGACGUUUCUCAUGUCUCUAGAGCAGGACUCGGUGGAGGAGAGAAUGCAACAGGUCCAAGCGAGGAAGCAGCGAUUGAUCGCGGGGGCUCUCACAGACGAAGAGGUGCGAAGCGCUCGAAUCGAGGAGCUCAAAAUGCUAUUUAGAUGAGAAGAACUGGAGUCCUUAGCAACUUAUAUCAGUGUACAUAGUUAAAGAGGGGAAUAUGCUUCUAGCAUCGGCGCGUAUAUUCUUCUGAUAGUUCAAUGUAGGUUUCUUCGCGGCUACGGCGGACAGCAGGCGAUCGCGUCGCAAGCGGCGACGAGCAAGGUAUGCAUGCUAGGAUCGCCUCGAGAAGCAGCAGCAGCGCCAGCGCCGGCGCCGCGCCGCGAUUUCGCUGGCCUAGAGAGCCGGAGUAGCCGAUCUAGAUUCAUGCAAGCAUAUCAUCUCUAGGAAAUUGAGCUGAACGCUGAGGCUUUGCAGGCGAUCGCGUCGAUUCCUCUCGUCUCCGCGGCCGGGGCGGCUAGAAAGCCGGGGCGCAUUCUAGAGUUUCGGGGUUUCUGGGGCGAUCAGUCAUGUAGCGGGUAGAGCCGUUGGUGCGGCUUUUGAGGAGUCCAAACAGAGGCUCCAUAAUCUAGAUGCUUUGGAAGGAGAAGGCGUGACGACCUCUCUAGAUCUUGAGGAGCUACAAAUUGACGGUCACCGUCGUGAGGGUAAAGCUCCACAGUUUUACAAGGUUUGUGCUUGCUUUUUUUCUUUCUCUAUUUUCAUGUGUUUGUAUCUCUGGUUACAGCCGAAGGAGAACCGUUUCAGGACCUCUGAAGAACUAAAGGUAUGCAUAUGCAUAUUCUUAAUAUUGUUAUGUUUUCCAUGUUUUACCAUUUACUCUAUACACCAGAUUUUAAAAUACUCAAAACCACGAGAGUAAAGUAAUAUCCUGAGAAUACGAUUUGUAAGAAAAACAGAAACUGUGUCUUCUCCAAACGCUGCUGACGGCUUGGAAAUCUCUGUUUUUGUUUUUUGAGUGAUGCAAAAUAGUGUAGCAUUUGCGCAGAUCGAGAACCCAAUCGAUGUCCACUGAAGGAGCAAGGUUUAAUCCCAGAAUGUUAUCUGGAGAUCCGGCCGCUCCUCAAGCCAUGGUGGAACUUUCGUAGCUUUUUGGCAGCGUAGGACUUUGAGCCUGGGAAAUAAGCCAAGGCCGUGAUUGUCUGAACUCAAUUGGGGCCACACUACAUCAUCAUGACCAGAGAGCACAAGUUCCUCCAAUCCUGGAAGGGAUGCAAUGGAUGAUGGAAUAUUUUCGAUCCUAUUCAAGGUUACAUCUCUUAGAGCAGUCAUUUGGUAUGUUGGCUCAAAGAAAUCAUUGGGGAGCUGCCUCAUACAGCCCGUCCGCAAAGAUAAUGCGAACCCUUUCACCUUCAGCUGUGAUCUCUCGGUUGGCAUCAAGAGUCUCCUCAUGUAACCUUCUACUCUCAGUCCAUCAAGGUCUUUGGGGAGUUGUGUCACAAAGAGAGGCAAAUGCUCCCAUGUAUUAUCAGGAGCCAGAUAGAAUCUUAACCACUUCAGGUUUGGAAGACUUGCUGCCAAAUCAUCCUUGAACUUCGACUGUGCAAUGCGCAGAUUUCGAAGCUCCAGAUGUUUGAGGCAUGGGAACGAUCCAUCCAGACUGAAGAACUGGAUACCACUGCGGUCUAGUUGAAGUUCUCGUAGCCGUUGAAAGACCUUUAGCCAAGACAGGUCUUUCAUUGUCUCAUUGUUUAUGAUCGUUAAAAGUUGUAGCUGUGGCCAUUCAAGGCUUUCGGCAUUGUUUUCACCGUCUUGUACCCCGUCAAUGGAAAAGCUCCAAAGCUGUUUGGAAUUCUUAAACAUUCGCUUCCAGUCAAGUUUGAUAGUCGAUUGCACACUAAUGUCACAUCGUCUUAGAUUGACAAGUUGCCACAGGUCGGUGAAAUCACCAAAGUCCAUGCUCUUUGCCCGCAACUCCAGUGUCUCCAUGGCCACUAGUGCACCAAGGCUGUGAGGUAUUUUUAUUGUUGCACCAUAGAGGUCUAGCUUUAAAUGUCUUAGCUUGUGUAGGCUUGAAAUUCCACUCAAAUUCACAGCUAACUCCUUACCGGAAUGAAGCUCCAGCUCUUCCAAGUUGAAUAAUUGGGGCAGUAAUGCAAAGUUGAAUUUUGUGGUAUUAUCGCAUUUCAAAACCUUCAGUGAUGUCAAGCUGAAGAGCGCAUCUGGUAAUAUUGUCACACUUGAAUAUAGAAGGUCAAGCACUUGAAGGUUUCUCAGCUUGGAUAUGCUCUCUGGAAUAAAACGGACCUGAUCAGAGCAGUGAAGCAAGCUCAAUACCUUGACAUU
This 33760-nucleotide long non-coding RNA is filed under the name Selaginella moellendorffii. RNAcentral describes it as "long non-coding RNA (SMOE_LNC002300)". The record is from RNAcentral. Lineage: Eukaryota; Viridiplantae; Streptophyta; Lycopodiopsida; Selaginellales; Selaginellaceae.